CCUACGGGUGGCAGCAGUGAGGAAUAUUGGUCAAUGGGCGGAAGCCUGAACCAGCCAAGUAGCGUGCAGGAUGACGGCCCUACGGGUUGUAAACUGCUUUUAUACGGGAAUAACGCGCCUUACGUGUAGGGCUUUGCAUGUACCGUAUGAAUAAGGACCGGCUAAUUCCGUGCCAGCAGCCGCGGUAAUACGGUAGGUACGGGCGUUAUCCGGAUUUAUUGGGUUUAAAGGGAGCGUAGGCCGCAGGUUAAGCGUGCUGUGAAAUGUCCGGGCUCAACCCGGGCCUUGCAGCGCGAACUGGCGUGCUUGAGUCCGCGGAAGGCAGGCGGAAUUCGUCGUGUAGCGGUGGAAUGCUUAGAUAUGACGAAGAACCCCGAUUGCGAAGGCAGCUUGCUGCAGCGGAACUGACGCUGAUGCUCGAAAGCGCGGGUAUCGAACAGGAUUAGAUACCCUAGUAGUC
This 460-nucleotide ribosomal RNA is filed under the name uncultured bacterium. Its description in RNAcentral is "partial 16S ribosomal RNA". It matches the Rfam family "Bacterial small subunit ribosomal RNA", at positions 338 to 795 of the family's 1533-position model. The record is from RNAcentral.